GCCCGGUUAGCUCAAUCGGUAGAGCGUGAGACUCUUAAUCUCAAGGUUGCGGGUAAGCUUUCCUUCCAUUAAGAAGAUUACGAGGGAAAAAAAGUAACUAACAGAUGAUGAAAUAGGUUCGACCCCCGCAUUGGGCU
Molecule: non-coding RNA, 137 nt
Organism: Poronia punctata
Lineage: Eukaryota; Fungi; Ascomycota; Sordariomycetes; Xylariales; Xylariaceae
Source: the annotation of a GenBank genome assembly